AGUCAAUUGGGUAAAAUUCAGAGC
This 24-nucleotide non-coding RNA is filed under the name Arabidopsis thaliana (thale cress). Lineage: Eukaryota; Viridiplantae; Streptophyta; Magnoliopsida; Brassicales; Brassicaceae. The record is from RNAcentral.